RNAcentral lists this small RNA (635 nucleotides) under Arabidopsis thaliana (thale cress). RNAcentral describes it as "ATSL201970". Lineage: Eukaryota; Viridiplantae; Streptophyta; Magnoliopsida; Brassicales; Brassicaceae. The record is from RNAcentral.
AUUUGAAUAAAAUACACUCCCCAUAAUAUCACCAGAGAAUAUGCUCUACUUUUCUAUUUAUUGACAGUAAAUGCUAUACCUUUUACGCAGAGAUCUAACCUGCAAAACAGAACAUUAUGGAUCGUGGUGAAAAUAAUUCGGUAGUUCAUACGAUGAAUCAAAAGAGAAAGGUACAAAACCAUCGCUUUCCAGUUUCUGAAUUUACUCUCUGGUGAUUUAAUUGACCAGUAUAAACUUUACAUGUUAAAGUACUGACUUUUUCUUUCGAAUAUAAAACUUACCAUGAUUGUAGAUCUGGUAAACAACUUGUUAGGAUUUACAAAAAUUAAACCGUGAAUCACGAUUUUUGUUUUAGUCCGAAAUUAAUGUUUACACUAAAAUUAAUUGGAAAACUGUCAUUAUGGGUUGAGAUUUAUAAUUACUUUUUAUUAUGUUCUUUGUAAUACCUAAUGACCUAUUUCCUUACGCAAUGUAGACGGCAGGACAAGAUGAAGUAUUGUUGGUGAUUGGCGAGUGGGUCAGGGUUGAUAAUUUAGCCUGGCAGUUUGAACCUAAGACUGUCGAAGGAGCGUCCUUCAUUCGCCUCAGGACCAACAUGACGUACGGAGAGCUAGCUCAGAAGGUGAAAAAUAAAC